Molecule: ribosomal RNA, 1073 nt
Filed under: uncultured bacterium
Lineage: Bacteria
Description: bacterial SSU rRNA
Rfam family: Bacterial small subunit ribosomal RNA
Source: RNAcentral
AUUCCUACGGGAGGCAGCAGUAAGGAAUAUUGGUCAAUGGGCGCAAGCCUGAACCAGCCAUGCCGCGUGAAGGAUGACGGCCCUACGGGUUGUAAACUUCUUUUGUACGGGAAAAAACCACCGGUCGUGAACCGGUGCUGAUGGUACCGUAAGAAUAAGGAUCGGCUAACUCCGUGCCAGCAGCCGCGGUAAUACGGAGGAUCCAAGCGUUAUCCGGAUUCAUUGGGUUUAAAGGGUGCGCAGGCGGAAUGAUAAGUCAGUGGUGAAAUCUCUCGGCUCAACUGAGAAACUGCCAUUGAUACUGUCGUUCUUGAGUACACUUGGAGUGGGCGGAAUGUGUCAUGUAGCGGUGAAAUGCUUAGAUAUGACACAGAACACCGAUCGCGAAGGCAGCUCACUAAGUUGUAACUGACGCUCAGGCACGAAAGCGUGGGGAUCAAACAGGAUUAGAUACCCUGGUAGUCCACGCCGUAAACGAUGAUCACUCGAUGUUGGCGAUAUACUGUCAGCGUCUAAGCGAAAGCAUUAAGUGAUCCACCUGGGGAGUACGAUCGCAAGAUUGAAACUCAAAGGAAUUGACGGGGGCCCGCACAAGCGGAGGAGCAUGUGGUUUAAUUCGAUGAUACGCGAGGAACCUUACCUGGGCUAGAACGCUGGGCGACCGUCCGGGAAACCGGAUUUCUCUUCGGAGCGGCCAGCGAGGUGCUGCAUGGUUGUCGUCAGCUCGUGCCGUGAGGUGUCGGGUUAAGUCCCAUAACGAGCGCAACCCCUAUCAUUAGUUGCCAUCAGGUCAUGCUGGGAACUCUAGUGAAACUGCCUACGCAAGUAGUGAGGAAGGUGGGGAUGACGUCAAAUCAGCACGGCCCUUACGUCCAGGGCUACACACGUGCUACAAUGGUCGGUACAAAGGGCAGCUACCUGGUGACAGGAUGCAAAUCUCUAAAACCGAUCUCAGUUCGGAUCGAAGUCUGCAACUCGACUUCGUGAAGUUGGAUUCGCUAGUAAUCGUAUAUCAGCAAUGAUACGGUGAAUACGUUCCCGGGCCUUGUACACACCGCCAUCCAUAUGACUAG